CGAGCCCUACGGGACGCAGCAGUAGGGAAUAUUGCUCAAUGGGGGAAACCCUGAAGCAGCGACGCCGCGUGGAGGAUGAAGGUUUUAGGAUUGUAAACUCCUUUUGUUAGAGAAGAUUAUGACGGUAUCUAACGAAUAAGCACCGGCUAACUCCGUGCCAGCAGCCGCGGUAAUACGGAGGGUGCAAGCGUUACUCGGAAUCACUGGGCGUAAAGAGUGCGUAGGCGGGGUAAUAAUUCAGAUUUGAAAUCCUGUAGCUUA
Molecule: ribosomal RNA, 261 nt
Filed under: uncultured bacterium
Lineage: Bacteria
Description: partial 16S ribosomal RNA
Rfam family: Bacterial small subunit ribosomal RNA
Source: RNAcentral